RNAcentral lists this long non-coding RNA (24474 nucleotides) under Ananas comosus (pineapple). RNAcentral describes it as "long non-coding RNA (ACOM_LNC043222)". Lineage: Eukaryota; Viridiplantae; Streptophyta; Magnoliopsida; Poales; Bromeliaceae. The record is from RNAcentral.
AAUUCAAACAAGAAAUGCACUAGCGGAAACAUACACAAACGGCUUACACGAAGGUAAGCAAUAGCCAUUAGUGAAAGAAAAAGGAAACUAAAUAUUCACUUAUACUAUGAUUCAUUUUUUGAUCAUAUACAUUGCAUUCAUCUUCUAGUUCCUUAAAUUUCAUUACAUAAUUUCAUCAUUUCUUUCUUACAUCACAUUUACCUCAAAAUAAGCUUUACAUUCUUUUCUUUACAUUACUAGUCAUCAAAUACAACAGAUGAACAUAGGGUAGCUACUAUCAAAAUGUAAUCCAACUCCGGUGGCCUCUGACUACGGCGCGAUACCUUUACCUCGGUCGCUCGCCGGCUCGCUAGGUCCCGGCUCUGUGGAAAUAGUGGGGUGAGAACUACAACAAAGUUCCCAGUGGGUUCGGCCUCAACAUCACCGACUUUCCCACUAGGACUAACUCAGGCAUAAUAGAAAGGAUAAGCUGAAAUAUGGUAACCAAUCUACAACAGGAUGCUAAUAUGCCUGAACAAUAAGCAAGGAAUAUGCUCAACAUUAAAUAAAUGCAGAUUAUGCAAAUUCUUUUGUUCUUUAUCUUUACACUUUGUUCUUGUUCUUUGCACUUUGCUCUUUGUUCUUUAUUCUUUAAUCUCGAGGCUAACCCGGGGGUUUCGCCACAUUAACUUGCUUCACAUUAAGUCCAUCAUCGCAGGAACUCACCCGCUAGGACCGUCCUUCGGGUCUACUCCAACCCGUGAUGCAUAACUCCGGAGCGCAUCGCCCGAGGGGGAGCGACCGCCCUCGAGCACGGAACUCAUAGCAAGUAUGAUCGUAUCCUUAACUCAAAGGAUUUAUAAGUUCAAUCUUGACUUUACACUAGCUCUAGUGUUCAUUACAUCACUUUAUGUUGCCACUCUAGCAAUCGUUGUUCUUUACUUUUCUUUUACUUUGGUUUUCUUUAGCAUUCUUGUUCUUUACAUUUCUCGUUCUUAUUGCCCCACUUUACUUUAACUUUACACAUUGUCAUUUUCAUCAUUCUUUACAUCACUUUGGUUCUUUGGCUCACACUAACUCUAGUGUCACUUUACUUUACGUUUCGAAUGCCACUCGAUCUAUGUCAUUGUGUCACUCUGUUCUUUUGCUCACUUUGGAUGCUCACUUUUCUCUCAUGCAUACACGUAGGGUUCUAACAUUCAUAAGGUUCUCAUUCAUCAUAUUAUGCAAGUUGUACUCACAAUCAUGCAACACUACAUUUUCAUCAUUACUUUACCCUAAAAUGCAUGCAACAACAUAUAUAUAUGCUCAAAUGAAUGACACAUUAGGCAUAGAGAGAAGUUCAAUGAGUUUGAGAAGCACCACCCACCUCGUAGGCUUUCAAAGGUGCUCCGAUGAUUUUCUUGGGAUUUUUUUGACCCUUCGUUCUUUACCUGCGGCAUAACGAAGCCAAAUUAGGCUUAUUUGGCCAUAACUUUGCAUCGGCUUUUCAUAACGUUAAUCCGAGCGCACCAACGCGUCGGAAAUACCCCCAAUUAGGUUUCUAAAGGGUCAAUUGCACUUAGAAACCCUCGUGAGCAAAAACCCCAAUUUGGUGCCCUAGCUCCAAUACAUAUCUCAAACCUAGGGUUUGAUCUAAAAAAGAAGCAAAAAUAGCUUCAUUAUACUCUAAAAAGUCCAUUAGAACCAUCUUUAGACAAAUCAAAACCCUACUUAGGGUUUCACCAUGAGAGGUGAUGAAGCUUACCUCAAGCUUCACCAUUUCUAUGGUCUUGAUCUCAAAAGAAGCAAAAGAAAAGUUUCAAAUACUCUAAAUACUCCAUUAAAACCAUUUCUAGGUUAAUCCAAACCCUAGUUUGGAAUUUAGCAUGAGAAGGGGCAAAGCUUACCUCUAAACUUGCUCAUUUUCCAAGCUAGAGAAGGAGAGGAGAGGUUUUCUUCUUCUCCUUGUCUUCUUCUUCACUUUCUUCCUCUUCUUUUCCUUCCUUUCCUUGUCUUCUUCUUCUCCUUCUUUGUCUUCUAAAGAGAGAAAGAGAGGAGAGAGUGUGAGAGGGAGUGGAAUGAGAGAAAAGCCCUCAUGUCCCUCCUACAUAACCAUUGGGCUGCAAAAAUGCUAAUAAACCCCUCAACUUUCACUCUUUCACACAGCCUGGACUGGGCUGUUCGCGCAGGCGGGGACCGGUCUCUCCUUCAGGGACCGGUUCCCGAAGGUCGUCCCCGCGCAGCCAGAGCUGCUGCGCGCAGUGCAACCGGUCUCUCCUUGGGGGACCGGUCUCUCGGGUAGGGACCGGUUCCCGAGAGCUAGUUUCUUAGGACAUAGCCGAUUUUUUGACUGUCUCACUUCAUACGCGUUCGGGGACCGGUCUCUCCCAUCAGGGACCGGUCCCCGAGAGCUCAAAAAUCUGCAGUUUUGCAGAAUUUGAUUCUAUAGCUCUCGAAAACCUCCCGUAACUCGCUUUUAAUCAUUUUAACACCUUCGGACUUCCGAAGUGUACCAUCCUCGCACUUUGGUCAAUUUGACUAAAGUUCGACAUCUAUUUUUCGAAUUUUCGGUAUAUUACAAUACAUCUUGGUGCCGCCUGGGUGAUCGGCAUAUGGAGACCGAUGCACUUCUUAUAGAAUUAGCUCGCGAAGCUCCCCAUCUUUCAGCACACACCAUCGGUUUCGAAACCGAAGUGCGCCAUCGGCGUCUAUACUGAAAUCGCCACCUCGACCAUCCUUGAUGUUUCGCCGCACCUUUUGGAGUUCUGGGUCUGCGGGUUGCAGAUCUUUGAUCCUCUCCAACAAGGUCGGUUGGACAAUGAGCGCCAUCAACUGGGCUGGAACCUCGGGAGCGACCACCUCAAGGUUCAUCCGCUCGACUUUCUGCUCAAUGCAUUAGUGACCACAUUGGCUUUCCUGGGGUCGUAGAGGAUAUCCACAUCAUAAUCCUUUAACAGUUCUAACUACCGCCGCUGUCUCAUGUUAAGCUCUUUCUGUGUGAACAGAUAUUUCAAACUCUUGUGGUCGGUAUAGAUCUCACAAUGGGCACCGUACAAGUAGUGCCGCCACAGCUUCAAGGCGAAGAUUACCGCUGCUAGCUCCAAAUCGUGGAUGGGGUAAUUCUUCUCAUAGCUCUUCAGCUGACGGGAUGCGUAGGCAAUUACCUUCCCGUUUUGCAUCAAUACAUACCCCAAUCCAAGAUAGGAGGCAUCGCUGUAGACCACAAAAUCUUCACCUUGCACUGGUAGAGCGAGCACCGGAGUCGAAGUCAAUCUUUGCUUCAACUCUUUAAAACUCCGGUCGCACUCCUCGCUCCAAAUGAACUUAGUGCCUUUCUGAGUCAGGCGGGUAAGUGGAAUCACUAUCUUGGAAAAGCCUUCCACAAACCGCCUAUAAUAGCCCGCCAAGCCCACGAAGCUUCGAACCUCCAUGAUAUUCGUCGGGCGCGGCCAAUCCUUGAUUGCCUCAACUUUCCUCGGGUCUACAGAAACUUCACCCGCGGAAAUCACAUGCCCUAAGAAGGCGACCUCUCGGAGCUAGAAGUCACACUUCUUCAGUUUAGCAUAUAGCUUCUCCUCCCGAAGGGUUUGAAGCAUUAUCCUCAAAUGCUCGGCAUGUUCCUUGUCACUAUGAGAAUAGACCAAUAUGUCGUCUAUGAAGCCGCAACAAAUCGGUCCAAAUACUCUCUAAAGACACAGUUCAUCAAAUCCAUGAAUGCUGCUGGAGCAUUCGUGAGUCCAAAUGGCAUGACCGUGAAUUCGUAGUGUCCAUACCGCGUGCGAAACGCGAUUUUUCUGCACAUCCUCCGGCUUAAUUUUUAACUGGUGAUAGCCGGACUGUAAGUCUAUCUUCAAGUACACACAUGAACCCUGCAACUGAUCGAACAGGUCAUCGAUUCGGGGUAGUGGGUACUUGUUCUUGAUCGUGACUCUGUUCAACUCUCCAUAACCCACGCAGAGUCGAAACGAUCCAUGCUUCUUCCGUACAAACAACACCGGGGCUCCCCACGGUGAUACACUUGGCCGGAUAAAUUGCUUGUCGAGGAGGUCUUGCAAUUGACUCCUCAACUCUUUCAGUUCCGCCGGCGCCAUUCGGUACGGAGCCUUCGAGAUUGGUGCGGUACCGGAAACCAAGUCUAUGACGAACUCGAUCUCCCGAUCCGGUGGUAUCCCCGGUAAUUUCGCGGGAAAUACAUCCGGGAACUCUCGCACCACCAAUAACACCUCUAACGUUGGAGCUACUCGUUCCAGUUCCACAACAGUCGCUAUGAAUGCCGUGCAACCGCUGUUAACCAACUUCUUUGCUCUCGUCGCCGACACCGUCGCGACGAAGCACGAGCUUUGACAAGCCCGAUAUGUGAACUCUUCUUGUCCUGGCUCACGGAAUGUAAUUACUCUGCUCUUGCAGUCAAUCGUUGCGUGAUAUUUCACGAGCCAGUCCAUGCCCAGUAUGACAUCGUACGCCUUCAGUUUCUUGAGUUCCAAUGUCCGGAUAGUCAUAAUCCAGUCGCCUAUUUGUACCGGGCACAAGGCGCACUCCGAAUAGGUAUUAAACGUCGACCCAGGGCCCUCCACUCGCCACUUGUCACUCGCCUCUAUGAGAAUGUCAUGCAUGUGUGAGAAUGACCUACUAAUGAAUGAAUGUGGCUCCUGUAUCAAAUAAAGCCCUGAAGCGAGCUCCGUGAAUUAAAAUCAUACCUGCCACAAGGCGAUGCUCAUCCGCCUCCGCAGGUUCCUCGGCUUGGACCUGAGCGGCGAAUACCCGUCCGCUCGGGGCCGAUCACGCCACUUCAGGUUGACGCGGCAUCACCGCGCGUCCCGUCGACGCGGCCACCGGUGGAGCUCCUCCAUAAUGUGCCGGAAGCACCGGCGCCGAUGCAAUGGAUCGGGCAGGUGAAGCUCCUCCUCCCGGGCAAUCUCGAAUGAAGUGCCCCGGCUGCCCGCAUUUGUAGCAUCUGCCUCGGCCUUGCUCACAGUGCGAGACUGGGUGGUCUCCACCGUAUACAAUGCAUCGCCGCGCUCCACCGCUCUUCUGUUGAGUGCGCGGAUACUUCGGGGGUUUCUUGUAACGUGUUUGUCCCCCCGAACUACCGCCGCCUUAGCGUUUCUUGCCCUUAUCCUCGGACUCGGCCAAAAGCUCACGCUUCUCCCGAACGUGGGCGUCUCCGUGCUCCGCCCAUAGUGCUCGGUCGAAGACCUCUGCAAAGGUCGUGAGCUUGAGUAUUUGCACGGCCUUGUAAAUUCCCGGCCGAAGUCCUCGCAAGAACCACUCGGCCCGGUCCCGGUCAUCCUUUACAACAUCCGGGACGCAUCUAUUGUAAUGCACUGGAUCUUGCUAAUCGCAAGAUUCGAGUGUCUGAUCUGUGUGUGGAGCCUUUCCACAGUCUUUGGAGUGUCGUUGAUAGUGUUCCGACCCCUGGCUGCAAUUUCGUCGGCCUUGUACCGGUACAAGAGCCUGUGUACCAGUACAAGGAGGCAGUUUUGUGCAGAAUGAAACUACAGGGGGUUUUGUGCGUUUGUAACCUUCUAUUAGUAAUCCCACGCCCCUUAGGGCUUCCCUGAGCUUCACAGCAGCAGGAGAAGAGGUAGGGGAGUUCUCCACACCCUCCCUUUCUACUUCUUUGAUCUUGGUUGGUUUAAUUUAUGAUUUCAGCCUCUCUUUUUCCCUCUUUUUGCUUCUUGGUGUUCUCCCUCCAUGGAAGGAGCUUGAAGCUUGGUUUUGGAGCUUGUUUGAGGGGAGAUUUUCAGAUUUUGGGGACUUGGACACUUGUUGGAGGCUUCCAAAGAGGUUAGAAGCUUAAUCUUUUCCUUUGAUCCUUAAUUUAUUGGAUUUCUUGAGUUGAAACCCUAGAUUGUGAUAUUAGGGUUUAUUUUGGGUAUUUUGAAUCUAGGGCUUUUGAAGCUAGAUUGAGUGGAUUAGAGGCUUCCAUUUGGUUGGAUUGGAAGGGCUUUAGCUCUCUUUUGGAGAUUUAGAGGAGAUUUUUGCACUAGAGGUGAGUUCUUCUCACCUAUACUUGAUUAGCCUAAUGAUUGACCUAGGUAUUGUUCGUUUGUCUCGUAUGACACAUGUUUCUAUACCUCUAGGGUACUAGGAGACUAGAGGACACCCUCGUUGGAGCGAACGAGGAGUUUCGUCGUCAUCGGUGGGUUUGGCUUCGUGGAAAUGGAGCGAAAUGGCCCCUAUGCUCUUUGUACUUGUUGUAAAAUAUUUUGAAAUUCAUUUCUAUGCUAAAUGGAAUUUAUAUGAAUUUUAGAGCACUUAAAAUGCAUGCCUUGUGUAUUAUGAAAAAUUUCACUAUAUAGUAGAGCUAUAUGAGUAGAACGCAUGCAUACGGGAAAAGUGUUUAUUUUGCAAGUGGAAAGUAAAUCUCUUAUGAGGAUCGUGACUUGGAACAAGUACUUUGAAACAUAGUUGCCAUGCCUUGACAUAGAAAAACAAGAGUGUCAUCAAGGGGCACUUGAAACUAGUAAACUAUUAAACUGCAAUAUAGAGACAUAUUGAUAGGCCACUACGUAUCUGCUGUAUUCCAUGUUAGAAACAUGAUGACAUAGAGAUAGGCCAUUGAGAUACUCGAUAUAUUCCAUAUUGUUAGACAUGAGGAUUUGGUACUUGAGACGGAUCAUUGCUUGCUUGCCAUUUGUGCUCAUUCGCACAUGCUUGUGAGGAUCGCUCCCUACAAGCCGGCACUCCGGAGAUAGCCAUCGCGACAUAUGCUCGCCCGUGCGGGAUUGGGCGCCGAAGUGGAUUGCCGUGGGGGAGGCUCAUCCCUAGAGUGGGGAUGUUGACUACCACGGGGCCAUUAGGCACGGCGCAGGCCAGACAGCCUUCGGGUGGGUCUUAUAUGAUUGGGACUUGGUGACAGANCCGAAGUGGAUUGCCGUGGGACAGGCUCAUUCCUAGGGUGGGGAUGAUGACUACCACGGGGCCAUUAGGCUCGGCACCGGCCAGACAGCCUACGGGUGGGUCUCAGGGCCAUAGACAGCCUUCGGGUGGGUCUCUUCAGAGUUGACUUUGUGUACCCAUUAUGACAUGUGGACAGAUGAUGCCUUAGUGUACUACUUGGACAUUGACUAGAAUAGUGAACAACGGAACUUUACUAUUUCACACUGUGAACAUCAUGAUUGUUGGAGAUUUUUACUUCAUGCAUAGUUGCUUUCAUACUUAUGCUAUUUUUGCUAAGUAGAGAUAUCAUGUCGUAGUAAGUUACACUUUUACUUACCUUUCGCCUUUCUACUUUUAUAGUCACUGACAUCCUUUCGUAGCUUUGGGCCUAGUGGUGCAUUCACUGAAGUCAGUAAUUGCCCACUGGGAACUAUUUUUAAUAGUUCUCACGCCCCUGUUUUAUGUUUCCUUUCAGAGCCUUCGGCACCGGCGGAGGCACGGGAUCGCGGCAAGGGUGUCGCGUAGCUAGCUCGCGGAGAGUUCUUUUGCGCUAGGUGGUUACUCCUCCAUUUUAUACUUUGUGAGAGAGGGAGAGGUUUUGUACCAUGUAUAGAGAGACCACCUUGUACUCCUUUUAGCACUUGUUAUGGGAUCUCUAUUGUACUUAAUAUUAUGUUUUAUGUAGUGGACUUUCAGCUUUAUGUCCUUUCCUUGUUAUAGAACUAGUUAUACAAUGCUCUGAUAUCACUAGAUCUCUUGUAUUAUUGUUUUAUCUAUCGAAAUUUUUAUAGACGCCUUAUAUGUUUUAGACGUAUGGCGGGUCUGGGCAUGCACCGUGUAGGCUUCCUCUGAGCCCCGGGGCGUGACAGAUUAAUUUCGUAUCAGAGCCUAGGGUUGAGUCUUAGGGGACCUAGUAAACCUUAGGCCGGUUGGACUAUAGGAAAUAGGCUCGUGAGAGACGAGGUCUAUUCGACUUGUAAGCGAAAGUAUCUAGAUUGGGUAUCUUGAAUAACUCUAGAAAGUGGAGUUAAAUUGAAGUGUAUAACUCCUAACUUCGCGGAGGGUUACGUUGGCGGCCGACAACGUAACAUCGGGAGUUAGUAGUGAAGAACAUUUCUUUACUUUCGCAUGAUUUGGGUAUUGUUUAUUUGAGCGGGGAUGCGAUAGCGUGGGUUUUUACUAACUUGCGCUUUUAUGAUGUUGUAGUAACGAUGUCGAUUACUCUCUCCCAAUCUGCCGGGGCGGACAAUGCGGCAAACAUCGAGGAGGUCGAGACCUCCGCUUCCUCCGGAUCCAGCGAGGUCCGUGAGUUGAGGGGCCAGCUUGCGGCCCUCACUGAUUUGGUCACUCAGCAGGCGGAGACGGCCCGACAGUAGACCGAGGCGGCGCGCCGACAGGAGGCGCGGAUGAAGCGUCUGGAGGACCUACUAUUGCAGCAGGCGGCAGCUUCACGGGAGACUCAGGCCCCUACACCGCCAGCACCAGUUGUGGACGUUGCACCGAGAGCGCCGUCCCCCGCUCCCAGUUCUUCGCGUGCGGUGCUUGUGGCCGCACCCCAGGAGGAGGUUUUGGUGGCACCACCUGUGCUGGGGCCCCCGGUUAGAGCAGCUUUCCCUACCUUGGUUGAGGGGGCGGAGCGAGACAGACUGAUGGAGCGCCUCAACGAGUUUUGGAGGUGCAGCCCCCGAGUCUUCGAUGGCGAGAAGGGCGACCACUGGAUCGUGGAGAAGUGGUUGAUGCAUAUGGAGAAGCUCUUCCGCGACACCUUCGUGGAGGAGAGGGACAGAGUUUGGCUCGCCACUCACCACUUGGACGGGGAGGCCUACCGCUGGUGGUUGGACUUUCAGGAGCACCCCAGCACUGACUUGGCAUCUAUCACCUGGACGAGGUUCAAGGAGCUUCUUUUGGCCCAUUACUUCCCGACCAGCGUCAAGCGGAAGAUGGAGCAGGAUCUGCGCAACUUGGCCAAGGCGACCGGACCGUAGCUGAGUACGAGAGGGAGUUUUCUCGGCUUCUGCAUUGCGUGCCUUUCGUCGUGCGGGACGACGAGGACAAGGCCCGCAUCUUCGAGCGAGGAUUGAGACUGUCUAUCUUCCGGUUUGUGCAAUCCUUUAACCUCCAAACCUACCGGGAGGUGGUGGAUCGCGCGCUCAUUGUGGAGAGCGGCNNNNNNNNNNNNNNNNNNNNNNNNNCCUAAAUAUAGAAUCAGCGAGAAGAUACAUAAGAGAGCAUUCGGAUCAACAAGAGAUCAAAAAUUAUCUAGAAGCAAAAGGCAUUACCUCAGAUCGGGAAUUUCCAAAGUCAAAAAAGAGAGCUAGAACCCUCCAUCAAGCCCAAGAAAGGUUUCUAACAUUCAAUCUUACCCGAAAAACCCUUCGAUCAAACAGCCCCAAAUCAACCCUAUACCCAUUCUAGUGAAGUUUCAAAUGGGCAAAAAUUUACCGAACAAGAAUCAAAGGGUAUUAGAAUCAACAGAUUAUACUUCUAGACUUGCUCAAAACAAGUCCAAAUCUUCUAGGGUUGAAGUUGGUUCACCCAAGCCCUACAGACGUCCAAGCCUUGCAAAGGUGGGAAAAGAAGAGAAAGGGUAAGUGAGCUCCAAGUCCUAAGUAUAGUCUUUUCUUCUUCUCCUUCUUUUUUUUCUUCUCUCUAUUAGAAGUGUUAACGGAAGGGUGGAAUGAAGAAGAAUAGAGAGGGCAAGGAGGAGGAACAUGGAUAUAAGGACCAUCUGAGUGUAACAAAUUCGUGAGAGGCGCCCUCAAAAACUCCGAUUCAAUUGCAUCAGAGCCUGAACUGCGGCGUUUUCGCCAGAAGGGACGGUCUCUCCCACGUAACAGGACCGGUCUCUCACUACGAUAUCCGAAAGCCAACUUUAGGGAACCGGUCUCUCAUGUGGAGACGCGGUCUUCUGCGAGAGACGAAUUCGUGAACGCAGGUUCUCGCGCAGGACCGUUGCCUCAGAGGCCUGCCAGCAAGACUGAUCAUGGAGAGACAGUUUACUAUCCAGGACCGUCUCCUGAGAGUAAGACUUAAUAGACUUAUCAGAAUUCCAGGUUUGAUUUUUAGGUGGAAAUAAUUCUAUCGACCUCCACCAAGCGAUGGGAAGUCUGAUAAAUCCAAAACUCGAACUCGAAAUUGCAAAAGUCAAGUGUUUACAAUGGCUCUCCCAGGCAAUCAACUCGGACGCCCAGAUCCCGCAAACGUAAUAGCGAGCAUUAUGUCGCGAUGGCUAUCUCGCAAUCCACAACCAGUGCGGCUAUGUAAGAGGCGGACAUCACAAGAUGUGCGAAUGAAAAAUGGCUAAGCAAGCAUGAUCGUCUCAAGUACAAUCUCAUGUUAACAAUAUGGAUAUAUCGGUAUCGCAUGGCAUAUUCUCUAUGUAUCAUGUUUCUAACAUUGGAUACCGAGUACGUGGGACAUAAUAUGAUCUCUAUGUGCGUUUAAGUUUAAUAGUUGUCAGAUGGCCCUGAUGACCUUUGUUUUCUAUGUCAAGACAUGGGCAACUAUGUUUCAUGGUAGAUGUUCCAAAGUCAGAGAUCAUCAUUACAUGGAUUCUUUCACUUUAGCAAAAUGACACUUUUCCGGUAUCUGCGUUUACUCGUAAUACUAUAACUAUAUAUAGUUAAUUUUUAAUAUAUACAAAGGCACAUGCAUUUUAGAUGCUCUAAUUCAUAUUGUAAAAUUUCAUUGAGCAUGGAAAUGAAUUUUAAAAAUAUUUACAAACUGUACAAGGAGCAAUGGGCCCAUUUUCGCCCUUUCACGAAAAGCCAAACACGACGAUCGACGAUGAAUACGUCCUCAGUUCGCUCCAAACGAGGUGUCUCUAGUCUCGCUAGUACUGAGAUGUCAUCGGCACCGGGACGAACCAAAUUAAUGCGCACGAACCGGAGACGUACAAACAGACGCAACGACAGAGUUUUACCCUAUCACCGCACAAGUCAAUAAUGUACAAAUUUCAAACAAGAAUUGCACUAGCGGAAACCAUACCAACACGGCUACAAACGAGGUAAGCAAUAUGCAUUAGUGAAAAGAAAAAGGAUUAACUCAUUCUAUGUACUAAUGUGUAUUUUUGAUAGAUACAUGCAUUAUCUUGAGUUCCUUAUUUAUUAAUAAUUUCUCAUGUUUUUUCUCUCAUUACCUUCAAAUAACUUUACAUUUUUUUCUUAUACAGUUUAUAGCGCUAAUACAAGAUGAUAUAGGGUGUCUCACUACACCGACGGCCAAGAGAAGACCCCCAAAAUGAACAAUCUCUUUUGUUUAUUGUGAGACUCGUGGACAACUCCGUUCGGCGAAUCGAAGGAGCACGCGACGAUUCGGUGGGUUUGACCUAGCCUAUGAUAUGAGAAAUACUCAUAUUUGGCAAAUAUGUUUCGUAAAAUAGAAAUUCAUGCAUUUUCAGGUUAAAUGUAUUUAAUAUGAAUUUUAGAAUGCUCAACAUGCAUAUAUUAUGUAUAGUGAAAUUUUAGACCCCUAUGUGGUAGAGUGCUUGCAUGUGAGACUUAGCAUUCUAGUUAUGAUUGGGAACCAUGAUCUCUAUUAUGAAAACGGAUCUUGCUCUCUUGCAUUUAACCUAUAUGCCAGUUGGGACAUUAGGAAUUUUAGAAGCCUAGAGAGGGCUUGAGAAUUUGGACUAUUUGAGAAUUGGGCCAAUGUCAUAAAGAGGCAUUGGGCCCGGGCUAUAGUAGUCAUUAGUAUUAAUGUUUAAAUGAAACAUAGAACAAGAAUUGAGCUUGAUCAGUGUGAUGCUUAAGUGUCAUAAAGAGACACUAAGCAAGUGAGUGUUGGGACAUCACUUAGAGACAUUGGGCUAGAUCCUUGGGAUGCUAGUGACCUUGCCAUGUUAGAGACAUGCGGAUAGAGUAUUUGAGACAGUGACCUUGCUUGUUUGCUAUUUGUGCUCAUUCGCACAUGCUUGUGAGGGUCGCUCCCUACAAGCCGGCACUCCGGAGUUAGCCUACGCGACCUAUGUUCGCUCGUGCGGUAUUGAGAAGCCUACGGGGUUGAGUGGGACAGACACAUCCCAAGAGUAGGGAUGUUGGGCUACCACAGGCACUUAGGCGACACAAGCUGGACUACCUUUGGUAGGUCCUUAAUUGGAAAUAGAAAUCGACACGGUGUUGAGUUUAUUAUGAACACUACUAGUCUGAGAGUAGUAGUAGGAUUAUUUGGACUUCCUUCUAGCAUAGUUGUGGACAUUUGGGUAUUCAUACAUACAUGUAGUACGCUAGGAGAUGUGGUUUAUUGCAUCCUUAUAUGCAUUGUAGUCAUGACCAUGUAUUACUUUCAUAUCUGUAUAAAGUAAAGCAUGAUAUUACUUGGGAACAUAUAUAUCCAUGACAAGAUAAAGUCGCAUUAGGAAUGCCAUGUUUAAUUGCAAGUUGUAGCUUAGCAUCCCAAUUAUUAUGCUUUCUAAUAUGCAAUUUAUUCGUUACUCUUAUUGUUAGACUUACCCUUUUCUUUGGGGCCUAGUGGUGCACUGAGCUGAGGUCAGUAAUUGCCCACUGGGAACUAUAAAUCAUAGUUCUCACGCCCUCUGUUUUGUGUUUUCUUUCAGAGCCUUCCACGCCGGGAGAGGCUAGAGACCGCAGGAAGGGAGUUGCUUCGAGCUAGCUUCUUUUGAGGACGAUUUGAUAGGUGGUCUACCUCUCGUAGUUUUAUUUUGUGAGAGGUUGUGAGUUGUACCUGUAUUUGUAGAGAGACCACCCUUCUUUUGGAUCCUUGUAUUCCUGUUGAGGAGAUAUUAUUUGUACUAUCUUAUUGUUUAGUUAUGCUUUCUCUACUCUUGCUUAGAUGAUAGAACCUUGCUCGCUCUGAUAUCACUAGUUGUUACUGCCCUAUUUGUACUAUUUCUUGCUUUUACUUCCGCUUUUAUUGUAGACGCCUUAUAUGUGUUGACAUAUGACGGGUCUGGGCACGCUACCGGGAGGGCCUUCGCCGGUCCCGGAGCGUGACACUCAUCCCUAGAGUGGGGAUGUUGACUACCACGGGGCCAUUAGGCACGGCGCAGGCCAAACAGCCUUCGGGUGGGUCUUAUAUGAUUGGGACUUGGUGACAGAACAUGCUAUGUGAACUUUAUAACUGUUAAAGUGGACUUGGACUAGAAUAGUAAACAAUGACAUCUUUACUAUUACAUUGUGGACUUUGGGUAGUUGCAUAAUCAUGCUUUAUAUGUUGGGUGUUCAUGUGCAUAUAGUUAGUAGUCGCUUCCUUACUUAUGUAAAUUGUGCUAAGUAGAGGUAUCAUGAUCAUUGGGUACUCGUUUAUUUAUUUACUUACAGCGCAUUUAUCGCUUUUGUUAUAAUGUACACUGACCCUUUUUCUUUUAGUUUCGGGCCUAGUGGUGCAUUUCACUGAAGUCAGUAAUUGCCCACUGGGAACUAUUAUUUAAUAGUUCUCACGCCCCUGUUUUUAUGUUUCCUUUCAGAGCCUUCGGCACCGGCGGAGGCACGGGAUCGCGGCAAGGGUGUCGCGUAGCUAGCUCGCGGAGAGUUCUUUUGCGCUAGGUGGUUACUCCUCCAUUUUAUAUUUUGAGAGAGAGGGAGAGGUUUUGUACCAUGUAUAGAGAGACCACCUUGUACUCCUUUUAGCACUUGUUAUGGGAUCCCUAUUGUGCUUAUUUUAUGUUUUUAUGUAGUGGACUUUGAGCUUUAUGCCCUUUCCUUGUUAUAGAACUAGUUAUACAAUGCUCUGAUAUCACUAGAUCUCUUGUAUUAUUGUUUUAUCUAUCGAAAUUUUUAUAGACGCCUUAUAUGUUUUAGACGUAUGGCGGGUCUGGGCACGCACCGAGUAGGCUUCCUCUGAGCCCCGGGGCGUGACAUCUAUAAUAUGGGAGAACUCUUGUUCAUGCUCCGCCACUGGGCGGUCCCCUUGCUCUAACUUGCGGAACUUCUCCUUGAGCUUCCGCUUCAAUGUAUCGGGGAAAUAGUUGGCGAACAUCUCCCGCAUAAAUUCCUUCCACAGUAUUGGCAGAAGGCCAGGAAGCCGAUCCCGUUUGACGUGCUUCCACCAGACCUUCGCCGCCUUUUCCAAGCAAUGGGUGGCGAGAUACACCUUGUCCCUCUCCAAGGUACGCAAAUCAUCGAAGAGGGUUUCCAUCGAGUCGAUCCAAGACUCGACCAUCUCCAGUUCCACCUUCUCGCCCUCGAAGGUUGCGGAUGGAACUUGUUGAACAUGAUAAGAGCUGCCAAUGCGCGCUCUCCUUCCACAUCUUCGGCCGUCACAUCGGGUGUAGCCGAUCCUUACGCCACCUGUGGUAAGAUCGCUGGCGGUGGGCGUGCCGUCACCGGAACCGCCGCUAUACCCUCACCCUCAGCCGCUCCGGGUACAUGAGUCGAGGGUGCCGGCGGACCACCGCCCUCAUUCACCGUCGCAGCCGCCGCUUCAACCUGCCGCUCCAAAAGAUCCUGGAGCCGCUCGAAUCGGGUCUCCUGGCACUGCACCACGUUGGUCAACGCGGUCACUUGCGCCCGCAACUGAUCCAUCUCGCUCGGUUAAGCCUACUCGGGCACCUCGGGAAGCGGUGCCGGAGUAGACCUCGUGCUCGGGCGUCCUCUUGGUGCCAUUGGCUCCUGAAACGCAAGUACUUGGUUAAUUAUCUUAACCCGUUCAUUUCGUCGUAAUUUCGACACACAACAACUCAACAACGAAAUCGGGCGGAAGCACACAAGUGUACUUGUUCUAGACUCUUGGUAUCAUGUCGUCGGCCGCCGACACAACCACCUCAAGACAAGAACUCAUACCACUUGAAUCCGUCUCUAAUCACAAUUAGAGACAUAUUACCCACUUUGACCCAAUCGAAUCAACUUCCGCCAUCGCCAUAGGUUCACGUUCCGCUCACGCACCUAUAACCUUAGGGCUUACCAACCUAGGGUCUCCUAGGUCAUCCUAGACUUUCUCUCUUUACUUGCUCUCAUUGCUCUGAUACCAUACGACUGUCACGCCCCGCCCCGAAACCCCUACCAAUUUGGCACGAUUCGGGCGCGGCGAGCGGAUCGCCGAACGGACAGCACCUCCCCUGUCCGCCCAAGGCUCAACAACAAGAAUGUGUACAAGAAUUUACCUAGAAAAUUUAAAUUCUAAACAUACACAUUCAACGGGGCACAAGUAGUGCCAACAACUAAGAGGAAGUAAUCCACAAGUAAAAACAAGUGAAAUAAAUAGAGUACUUUACUCACUAUUGCAAUAGUUCAUCCUUUUCAUUUACAUCAUUUUCUUUAAAUGAAUACAUUUUCAUCCAAAAAUACAUAGCUCUCCAAAUCCUCACCUACAAUGAAUCUCUCUCAAUACAUAGGUGUGCUAAUGCAAAAAGGAAAGCUACUAUACUACCACGGUCUCACUGGUCGGGUGCGAUGCCCUUGCCGCGGUCCUCGCUCGGUAAACCUGUACCUACCACUGAAAAUAGAGUGGGGUGAGAACUAUCUUCCAUAGUUCCCAGUGGGCUCAGCCGCCGACGCUGCCGAUCUCCCCACUAGGUCCAAGUGGGCACAAGCAACAACAGAUAGAUAGAUAGAUAGAUAUCUUGUUACGGAUUUUAAGUUGACAUAUUUCGUGAAGUUAGUCGGAGUCUUGAAUGUUUGAAGAAGAAGAGAUGAAGAUCGAAGACUCGAAGACUCAAAACAUGAAUGCACAAUGCUCGGUAAGUUUAAAUACCAUUGAUGAUGAUUUAUAAAUGUUUAAAAGUGUUUGGAAGACUUAGGAUGGUUUUUAAAAUAUGAAUCUGGACAAACUGAGUUUUUCAAUGUGCUGGGACCGGUCCCCUGAGAUGAGAGACCGGUCCCCGAGGGUCCUUACUGCGUGGGAUGUUGAGGCAACCGGUCUCUGGAUAGGGAGACCGGUUCCCGAACAUAGGAUUUUCUGCCACGCAGCGAGGGACCGGUCUCUGGCAUGAGAGACCGGUUCCCGAAGCCUGUGUUUUCAGGCAUGCAACGAGGGACCGGUCUCCCAAAGACCGGUCUCCUCGAGAAAACCGGUCGUUGAGGACGAUGUCAGUUUUUAAAAUUGGGUUUUUGCAAUCCUAGUGUGUUUCUAAGUCUUCUAAACCUAUAAAUAAGAUGUAGGGGUGUUUCUAAAAUAUAGUGAAGCAUAGAAUAUCUUUUAAAAAUCCUAGAAACUUGUUGGGUGCUCUCUUUCUUUCUCUAACAUCAAGUUUCUAUUGGAUCAAUUCUUGAAACACUAAUUUCUUGUUCUUCAUGGAGAAUUGAUUGGGCUAUUGCUUAGAAACAUCUUCUACGGUUCUUUAUUGAUUGUCUAAGCAAUAAAUCAUCAUCAAUCUUGGUAUUCUUGCUCCGAAUGGAGUGUGCUCGUGGAUUUGAGUGGGCGUCGUGGAUUCGGCGUGAUCAAGGCUUCGUGGAUUCGAAGUGUGGACGUAUUGUGGAUUCGGGAUGCGGCGUUCGUGGAUUCGGACGUGGGGCGUGGACAACACGUUGGUGUGCGCGAGAUCCGGAGAAGAUAAAAGAGAGGUUUGAGUCAGUGGAAUCGGUAAAUCACCUUGUAAUCUUUUAUUCUUAGUGGAUUGUUAUCGCGUAUUGGUCCCGUGGUUUUUUACUCCUAGUUGGAGUUUUCCACGUAAAUCUCGGUGUGAUUUUUAUUUUUCGCAUUUAUUUUGAUCGCAUUGAGAUUUGUGUUUUUCUGCUUUUACGACUAUUCACCCCCUCUAGGUGUUGGAUACAAUCUAGAUAGAUCCUUGGGCACCCCAAAACUUUCAAUUGGUAUCAGAGCGGGAUCUAGAUAAAUUGUUAUCUAAUGGCCGAAGGCGGAAACAUUAAUCGACCACCGCUCUUCGAUGGCACAAACUAUGCCUAUUGGAAAGUUUGCUUGAGAGUUUUUCUAAUCGCAAUCGAUGAGCGCGUUUGGCAAUUAAUAGAAUUUGGAUGGAAACAUUCUAUUGAAAAGGUCGAGAAUGUUGAAACGCCAUGUAGCACACUGGACCUAUGCAAAUUGCGAGGUUCGAGUGAUUGGACGUGUUUCGAGCUUUUCCACACUUGGUGGAGGGUCGUAGGAUGUUUUCCGACCUAAAAAGUUCGAAAACCGAAGUUCUGGACGAGUCCUGAGAGUUUUUACUCUCGGGGACCGGUCCCUGUUAGGAGAGACCGGUCCCCCCAGAACAGUACCGCUGCAGGGUUUGAGACAACCGAUCCCUGGCUGUGAGAGACCGGUUCCAGAGCGCGCAUUUUGCGUGGAGGGUCCGAGAGACCCGUCUUGUGCGGGGAGAGACCGGUUCCUGAACGUCGAAAUUUCAGGGCAGGCCGAGAGACCGGUCCCAUGUCGGGGAGACCGGUCCCUCCGUCCGAAAACUGUCCAGUCCGGGCUGAUGCAAUAUUGGGAAUUUGAGGGGCCUCUUUGGAUUUUGUUACCUUGGAUGGUCUAUAUGGCCAUUUCACCCUUUCUCUUCUCUUAUUUCUCAUUCUCCCACUCUCCCAACACCCUAGAUAGAGGAAAAGAAGAAGAAGAAGGAGAAGAAGAGGAGGAGGAUCUAGCUUGAAGGCUUGGGCUUGGAGUAUUUCUUUUCCUCUCCUUCUCUUCCCACCUUGUUGGUGCUUGAAGGCUUGGACUUGGAGCUUGCAAGAGAGGAGAUCUUCACCCUUGGAGCUUGGAUUGGAGCUUCUAAGGAGGUUAGUUGCUCAUUUCUUCCCUCUAGACCAUGUUUUGUUGGUUUUUAGGAGAUGAAACCCUAGAAUGGAAAAUCUUUGGUUUAUUUGGGGCUUUUUGAUUUAGGGCUUUUUGAGCUAAUCUAAUUGGAUUAGAACCUUGGUUUAAGUUGCUUUGGAAGGGAUCUAGCCCUCUUUUGGAGCUUGAGAGAGAUUUUCUUCUCCCUAUGUGAGUUUUGCCCCUUUUCUUGUGGAGAUUAAUGUUUGAGCCUAGAGUUGCUCAUAACAUUUGUUUAUCUCUUCGCUCCUUACUUUUAGGAUACUUAGAAACUGGUGGACAACUCCGUUUGGCGAAACGAAGGCUUCCAAGACGGUUCGGUGGGUUUGACCUAGCCUGGCAUAUGAGAAAUUCUCAUAUCCCACGUUUUAUGCUUCGUAGAGUAAAAUUCAUGCAUUUCUAUGAUAAAUGUAUUUAUUGUGAAUUUUAGGAUGCUUAACAUGUCUAUAUUAUGUGUAAGAAAUUUCAGACCCCUAUAUAGUAGAGAGCUACCAUGUGGGACUUGUACACGAUUGGCAUCCUAUUGAGACUUGGAAUCAUAAUUCCUAUGGUGAAAAUGAAUAUCACUUUCAUGCAUUUAAAGCUAUUCCUACUCAAGACCUAAAGGAUCUUAAUAAGCCUUAAAGGGACUCGGAAACUUGUGCUACUUGUGGAUAAUUGAGCUAAUGUCAUAAAGAGGCAUUGAGCUCGGGUUAAAUGAGAACCUAGUACUAAUGUCAUGAACAGAGCAUAGACUAUGAAAUGCGUUAACUUAUAACAAGCUUAAGUGUCAUAAAGGGGCACUAAGCAUAGUGAGUGUUGGAACAUCACCUUGAGACCUUGAACCAGAACUUUGAGAUGCUAGUGACUUGUACCAUGUUAGAGACAUGAUGAUUGGGUAUUUGAGACGUUGACUAUACUUGCUUGCCAUUUGUGCUCAUUCGCACAUGUUUGUGAGGGUCGCUCCCUACAAGCCGGCACUCCAGAGUUGGCCUACGCGACUUAUGUUCGCUCGUGCGGUAUCAGAAACCUACGGGGUCGCGAGGGAUAGACUCAUUCCUAGAGUAGGAAUGCUGGAGCUACCACCGACACUUAGGUGGCACAAGCUGGACUACACUAUGUAGGUCCUAGAACAUGUUGGAAACAAUGACAUUGAAUCGGGAAAUGACUAUCACUACUAGAUAGGCUUAGUAGUUUGAUUACCAUGACAUGCUCAUAGCAUAAUGUUGGGACUUGUGGUAUACAUGAUAGUCUUAUUUGUUGCAUCAUAGCAUAUUUUGCUGCCAUGAUAGAGCAUACCUAUCAUACAUUGAUAUAUAUAUAGUGGAUCAUGAUACUACUUGCGCGUUAUGUUGGGACAUAUUAGUCAUGCUUGGACAUACUUCAUUUUGAUAAAGCAGAUGUACAACACAUUUGACAUCAUGUUUAUUUGCGACAUAGCAGUUUAGCAUUUUAAUCAUGCUUCCAUAAAUGCAAUCCAUCUAUCAUUAUUGUUGCUUAUUGUACUUACCCAUUUCUUUUGGGGCCUAGUGGUGCAUUGAGCUGAGGUCAGUAAUUGCCCACUGGGAACUAUAAAUUAUAGUUCUCACGCCCUCUUUUUCUUGAUGUUAUUUCAGAGCCUUCGGCACCGGCGGAGGCACGGGAUCGCGGCAAGGGAGUCACGUAGCUAGUUAGCUGGGAGCUACCUGUGAGCUUAGGUGGUUUACUCUUUCUUUUGUUUUAGAGAGAGAGAGCGAGAUUUUGAGUACCAUGUAUGGAGAGAGAGACCACCUACAUACUCUUUAUGUUUAGUUUUUGUAUUUGGGCUUCCCUUUGUACUACUCGAUGGUUUUAUUAGUGGAUUUCAAUUUUAUACUUACCCUCUCUAUGUAGAAUUUAGUUAUUUACCUUGCUCUGAUAUCGCUAGAUACUGUUGCUUUCUUACCUUACUUCCGCUAUUAUUGUAGACGCCUUACAUGUGUAGACAUAUGGCGGGUCUGGGCACGCACCGGACGGGCCUACGCUGGGUCCUGGGGCGUGACACGCCAAAACCACGAAACAAGUGGACAAAAGAUGAAAGCGAGGCAUCUUCGUUUAACGGCAAGGGUAUAAAUGCUUUAUUUAAUGCAUUGUCUCAAACGGAGUUUACUCGUGUUUCGGCGUGUGGAACCGUCAAAGAAAUUUGGGAUACUCUACAAGUUACGCAUGAAGGAACGAGAUUAGUAAAGGUCCAAAAAUUGCAAAUAUUAACAAGUAAAUUUGAUUCAAUUUUUAUGGACGAAAAUGAGACCUUUACGGAGUACUAUAUGCGUCUUUAAGACGUUGUGAAUACAUGUGUUAACUUGGGAGAGAAAAUCUCGGAUGCUAAGGUUGUUAGAAAGAUUCUUCGAACUCUUCCGAAACGCUUUCGGGCAAAGGUUGCCGCGAUUGAAACCGUUAAGCAUCCGGACGAGAUGGAAGUCGAAGAAUUAGUAGGCCCUCUACAAACGUAUGAGAUGACUUUUCCUACUAAUCAAUCUUUUGCCAAGUCUUUUUCUAAAAGUACAGGGGUUGCACUCAAAUCGACAAAGAAAGAAGACGACGACUCGAAUUCCGACAGAGAUGUUUCGUUUGCUGACUUCGAACAUCAAUUAGCGCUCCUCACGAAGAAAUUUCGCCGGAAUUUUCGAAAGAAGAACAAUUCAGACAAAUCUUCAUCUUCGAAGAUUAAAUCCUUUUCUAAGCAUUCUUCUAAUUCAAAAUCUAAGGAUAAAAACCUUGCAAAGCCUUCGAAAGAAAAAGAUGAUUUUGAAGGAAAAAUCCAAUGUUACAAGUGUAGAGGCUACGGUCAUAUUGCAACGGAUUGUCCCUCUAAGAAAUCAUAUACAAAGAAGGCUUUGCAAGCUAAAUCUUGGGAUGAUUCAUCUUCAAGUGAAUCAAGUUCAAGUGACGAAGGAAAGAAUGAACUUGAUUUGUUUACUAACACUUCUUUGCCUUCGUCUAACGUUGUUUGUUUAUCCUCUAUUGUUUCUAACUCUAGUAUUUCGCCUUCCUUGCAGGGCACUCGAGGCGAACGAGAAAGCGAAGGAGAAUCAACACGACGAGGAUAUAGCGGAACGCGUAUCAUCAAACUUCUUAUUGAUCGAAAAAGAUGGCCAAACUUAAUAAGAAGUUGAGGCGUCGUUUGUUGGAUUUUUGAGAGGAAAACAACAACUGAAGACAAUGAUAAAGUCUGAGAGGAGAAGAAUCAAUUCAAAGAAUAAUUAAUCCUCCAUGAGAAAACUUGAUGGAGCGCGAAUCAAUGAUCAAAUCCUAUAAAAUAAGAUUGGAUUUUGGAGCAACAAUUUAAGGAAACAUUUACAUCCAAUUAAUCCUUGACCGAUCAAGUUCGUCAACUCCAAUCCGACAUUCAAAAGUGUCUUCUUGGGAUCAAAGAAAUGGAUCAUAUGCUCGGAUUGUGUCAAACGGAAAACUGGCCUCGCAUAUGAAAGAACUUAUGUUGAGAAGGAUCAAAAGUCAAAUUCUAAAGUCUCAACAACUUUUAAAGAGAAGGUGUGUCAUAAAUGUGAUCAAAGGACACAUCAAAAGAGUUUGCCCGAACAAGACAAAGAAGAAUCAUGGCAACUUCAAAAAAUCAAGCAACACCCUCCACUAACUCAAACUUUCUUCACGGAAUUUCAAAUAAAAAUCAAUUGAGUCGAGCACCUCAAGGGAAUAGGUUUUCUAAUGCUCAACGUCAGUUCAACCAAACAUGUCACGGCCCGGGCCGACGUGCCAAUUUGCCCGACCCGAGCACGUAAACAGACGCACGAACAGAUAGAGUUUCCCUUAUCGGCCCAAGGCUCAUCCACAUGCACAUUUUCAUCAAUAAAGAAAAGCACUAGCGGACAACUACACAAACGGCUUACACGAGGGUAAGCAAUAGCCAUAAGUGAAAGAAAAAGGAAACUAAACAUUCACUUGUAAUAUGAUCAUUUUGAUCACAUACGUGUAUCUAUCCAACUUGUAAAGUCCAAAAAUCUUUACAUUCUUUCAUCAUUUCCUUCUUACAAUACCAUUUUUCUCAAAUAAGCCUUACAUUCUUUCUUUCACAUUACUAAUCAUCAAUACAAAGAUCAUAAAAGGGGUAACUACUAACAACUGCAACCAACUCCGGUGGCCUCUGACUACGGUGCGAUACCUUUUACCGCCGUCGCCGCGCUCGCUCGGUCUCGGCUCUGUGGAAAUAGUGGGGUGAGAACUACAACAAAGUUCCCAGUGGGUUCGGCCUCAACAUCACCGACUUUCCCACUAGGACUAACUCAGGCAUAAUAGAAAGGAUAAGCAGGAUAUAGUAACCAAUCUAUAACAUGAUGCUAAUAUGCCUGAACAAAUAGCAAGAAGUAUGCUCAACAUUAAAUAUAUGCAAAUUAUGCAAACUCAUUAGUUCUUUGACUUUACUUUGUACUUUGUUCUUUAUUCUUUGCUCUUUGUUCUUUGUUCUUUAAUCUCAAGGCUAACCCGGAGGUUUCGCCACAUCAACUUGCUUCACAUUAAGUCCAUCAUCGCAGGAACUCACCAGCUAGGACCGUCCUUACGGGUCUACUCCAACCCGGAUGCAUAACUCCGGAGCGCAUCGCCCGAGGGGGAGCGACCGCCCUCGAGCACGGAACUCAUAGCAAGUAUGAUCAUAUCCUUAACUCAAAGGAUUAUAAGUUCAAUCUUGACUUUACACUAGCUCUAGUGUUCUUUACAUCACUUUAUGUUGCAAAUUCAUGCAAUCACAUUCUUUACAUUUUUAUUACUCUUGCUAACUCUAGCAUUCUUGUUCUCAUUGCCCACUUUGCUUUAACUUUACACUUGGUCACUUUCAUCAUUCUUUACAUCACUUUAGUUCUUUACAUCACACUAACUCUAGUGUCAUUUCACAUUCACUUCAUCGAAUGCCACUCGAUCUAUGUUAUAGUGUCACUCUAUUCUUUUGCUCACUUUGGGUACUCACAUUUUCUCUCAUGCAUACAUCUAGGGUUUUGACAUUAUUAGGUUCUCAACCAUCACCUUUGGCACGUUGAACUCACAAUCAUGCAAUCAUCACAUUUCGUCGUUACUUUACCCUAAAAUGCAUGCAACAAUAUAUAUAACAUAUGCUCAAAGAAUGACACAUUAGGCAUAGAGAGAAUUUCAAUGAGUUUGGAAAGCACCACCCACCUCGUAGGCUUUCAAAGGUGCUCCGACGAUUUUCUUGGGAUUUUUAGACGUCUCUUUCUUUACCUGCGGCAAAACGAACCCUUAUUAGGCCAUUUUGCUCAUAACUUUACUUUGACUUUUCGUAACGUUAAUCCGAGCGCACCAACGCGUCGGAAAUACCCCCAAUUAGGUUUUUAGAGGGUCAAUUGCACUUAGAAACUCUCAUGAGCAAAAGCCCCAAUUUGGGUGCCCUAGCUCCAAUGUAUAUCAAAACCUAGGGUUUGAUCUCAUUGGGAAGCAAAAGUAGCUUCAUUAUACUCUAAUUAGUCCAUUAGAACCAUUCUUAACCUUUCCAAAUCCCUAGUUUGGAUUUCACCAUUAGAGGUGGUCCAAGCUCACCUAUAUAUCAAAACUAGGUUUUGAUCUCUUUAGAAGCAAAAGAAAGCUUCAAAACUACUACACAUUCCAUUAAAAACCAUCCUUAGGUUCAUUCAAACCCAUUUCUAGGGUUUUACUACAUUAGGGUUUGAAGCUUACCUUAUAAGCUUCCUUUUCUUGCACUAGAGAGGAGGAAGAUGAAGCCUCUUUGCUCCAAAAGCUUCUUCUUCACCUUCUUCUCCUUCUUUUCCUUCCUUUCNCAGUGGGUUCGGCCCCAACAUCACCGACUUUCCCACUAGGACUAACUCAGGCAUAAUAGAAAGGAUAAGUAAGAUAUAGUAACCAAUCUAUAACAUGAUGCUAAUAUGCCUGAACAAAUAGCAAUAGAUAUGCUCAACAUUAAAUAAAUGCAGGUUAUGCAUGUUCUUUAGUUCUUUUCACUUUACUCUUGUUCUUUGUUCUUUACACUUUGUUCUUUGCUCUUUGCUCUUUAAUCAUUAAGGCUAGCCCGGAGGUUUCGCCACUUUAACUUGCUUCACAUUAAGUCCAUCAUCGCAGGAACUCACCAGCUAGGACCGUCCUUACGGGUUUACUCCAACCCGGAUGCAUAACUCCGGAGCGCAUCGCCCGAGGGGGAGCGACCGCCCUCGAGCACGGAACUCAUAGCAAGUAUGAUCAUAUCCUUAACUCAAAGGAUUUAUAAGUUCAAUCUUGACUUUACACUAGCUCUAGUGUUCUUUACAUCACUUUAUGUUGCAAACUCAUGCAAUCACAUUCUUUACAUUUCUUUUACUUUUGCUAACUCUAGCAAUUAUAUUCUUUAUUCCCCACAUUACUUUAACUUUAAACAUUGUCAUUUUCAUCAUUCUUUACAUUACAUUGGUUCUUUGCAUCACACUAACUCUAGUGUCUCUUUACUUUACAUUUUCAAAUGCCACUCGAUCUAUGUCAUUGUGCCACUCUGUUCUUUUGCUCACUUUGGGUGCUCACAUUUUCUCUCAUGCAUACAUCUAGGGUUUUGACAUUAUUAGGUUCUCAACCAUCUCAUUAUGCAAGUUGUGCUCACAAUCAUGCAAUCAUCACAUUUCAUCAUUACUUUACCCUAAAAUGCAUGCAACAAUAUAUAUAACAUAUGCUCAAAGAAUGACACAUUAGGCAUAGAGAGAAUUUCAAUGAGUUUGGAAAGCACCACCCACCUCGUAGGCUUUCAAAGGUGCUCCGACGAUUUUCUUGGGAUUUUUAGACGUCUCUUUCUUUACCUGCGGCAAAACGAACCCUUAUUAGGCCAUUUUGCUCAUAACUUUACUUUGACUUUUCGUAACGUUAAUCCGAGCGCACCAACGCGUCGGAAAUACCCCCAAUUAGGUUUUUAGAGGGUCAAUUGCACUUAGAAACUCUCAUGAGCAAAAGCCCCAAUUUGGGUGCCCUAGCUCCAAUGUAUAUCAAAACCUAGGGUUUGAUCUCAUUGGGAAGCAAAAGUAGCUUCAUUAUACUCUAAUUAGUCCA